This 670-nucleotide ribosomal RNA is filed under the name Didymosphenia geminata (rock snot). RNAcentral describes it as "eukaryotic LSU rRNA". The stretch from base 312 to 466 matches the Rfam family "5.8S ribosomal RNA". The record is from RNAcentral. Lineage: Eukaryota; Bacillariophyta; Bacillariophyceae; Cymbellales; Cymbellaceae.
UUGUCUAANCCUUAUCAUUUAGAGGAAGGUGAAGUCGUAACAAGGUUUCCGUAGGUGAACCUGCGGAAGGAUCAUUACCACACAAUAAUCCAAACCGCGCUUACAUUAAACCCAUAGGCUCUGGCCCUGCUAACUAGUGGUAAACCCCUCUGUAACCCAUCGAGUCUCUCUGGUGUUUACAACCUUAUAAGAUCUCAUUAUGUGCCACUGCCGUGAUGAUGCAACCUGGAGGCCAACGAGUACGAUCCACCAAUUUAAAUUCAAUCGACAGCUUGACGAGAGUCAAGUUUAAAAGUAUAACAUUCCAAUACAACUUUCAGCAAUGGAUGUCUUGGUUCCCAACACAAUGAAGAACACAGCGAAAUGUGAUACGUAAUACGAAUUGCAAGACUUUGUGAAUCAUUGAAUUUUUGAACGCAUAUUGCGCUGCCAGAUUCUUUCUGGGAGCAUACACGACAGAGUAUCAUCAAACCCCAAUCUAUAACAUUAUUUGUUAUGGGCAAGUGAAGUUGGCUUUAAACAAAGCACUCCUUCUAAGUUAUUUAGUGCAGAGGUAUUUUCACAUUGUAGGAAACUCAGUGUAUUUGUUUCAACGUGCUAUUGGUCAAAAUUCACUUUUUGACUGUCUUCUUAACUGAUCUCUGGCUGUGUAGGACUACCCGCUGAAUUU